UGAUUAAUUUUAAGUUGUGUGAAUUUUAAU
This 30-nucleotide non-coding RNA is filed under the name Rattus norvegicus (Norway rat). Lineage: Eukaryota; Metazoa; Chordata; Mammalia; Rodentia; Muridae. The record is from RNAcentral.